This 708-nucleotide unclassified non-coding RNA is filed under the name Hevea brasiliensis (rubber tree). The record is from RNAcentral. Lineage: Eukaryota; Viridiplantae; Streptophyta; Magnoliopsida; Malpighiales; Euphorbiaceae.
CAGCCUCAUGUACCUGCAAUUUUGCCCCGGAAAAACAACCAAUUCUAACAACCAAAUUACUCCUAAGGCCAUAACUCCUUGUGACCAAAACACCCUUUCGAUUUAUUUCCACUUCCACAACAAACCAAGGGUAUCUUAGUCUUUGACUCUCAACGUCAAAAACGGUAAUCCCCUCCCUCUCAUUCAAUUGAACUGAUCCGAGAUUCACACUCAAAUUUGAAACAGGAGGAGAUUCCAACUGCAGAUAACACAAGCAAGCUUUCAUGGCUAGAGCAAGAAACACCAAGAAUCUAUUCUUCACGCUCACCCCAUCACCGGUCUUUCACUUAAUUUUUGCCUUCCCAUUAACUUCACUUCUCUACUCUCCCAGAAAGAGCCCAAGAAACCACACCAACGAGGAGUCUUUUUUUCUCUUACUCAUUGUUUCUUUCACUUUCUUGGGCACUUUCAUUCUCGGCUUCAUACCCAUUUCUUGAGAUUCAGUAUCUUGUUCUUUCAUCUCUCCCUCUUCUCCACUUUCAUUUCCUUCUACAUCAACUUCACACACGUUUUCAGCUUCCCUUUCUUCAGGGAAUUCUGCGAAAGUAAAGGGUGAGCCUGGACUAGCGAUGAGUGUGAUGGUUCCAUUACCAGCUCAAGGGGUUACUGGGAAUGUGUCGAACGAGGAGAGAGAGUUUUGGGAGCUGUUAGAGUUGAUGAGAUUUAGUA